RNAcentral lists this ribosomal RNA (253 nucleotides) under uncultured bacterium. RNAcentral's name for it is "partial 16S ribosomal RNA". It matches the Rfam family "Bacterial small subunit ribosomal RNA", at positions 524 to 776 of the family's 1533-position model. The record is from RNAcentral.
UACAGAGGGUGCAAGCGUUAGUCGGAAUUACUGGGCGUAAAGCGUGCGUAGACGGUUAUGUAAGUCAGAUGUGAAAGCCCAGGGCUCAACCUUGGAAUUGCAUUUGAGACUGCAUAGCUAGGGUGCGGAAGAGGGAAGCGGAAUUUCCGGUGUAGCGGUGAAAUGCGUAGAUAUCGGAAGGAACACCAGUGGCGAAAGCGGCUUCCUGGUCCAGCACCGACGUUCAGGCACGAAAGCGUGGGGAGCAAACAGG